Molecule: ribosomal RNA, 246 nt
Filed under: uncultured bacterium
Lineage: Bacteria
Description: partial 16S ribosomal RNA
Rfam family: Bacterial small subunit ribosomal RNA
Source: RNAcentral
GAUCAUGGCUCAGGAUGAACGCUAGCUACAGGCUUAACACAUGCAAGUCGAGGGGCAGCAUGAACUUAGCUUGCUAAGUUUGAUGGCGACCGGCGCACGGGUGAGUAACACGUAUCCAACCUGCCGAUGACUCGGGGAUAGCCUUUCGAAAGAAAGAUUAAUACCCGAUGGCAUAGUUCUUCCGCAUGGUGGAACUAUUAAAAAAUUUACGGUUCAUCGAUGGGGAGUGCGUUCCAUUAGGUUUGG